GAUGAACGCUGGCGGCGUGCCUAAUACAUGCCAGUCGAGCGAACAGACGAGGAGCUUGCUCCUCUGACGUUAGCGGCGGACGGGUGAGUAACACGUGGAUAACCUACCUAUAAGACUGGGAUAACUUCGGGAAACCGGAGCUAAUACCGGAUAAUAUAUUGAACCGCAUGGUUCAAUAGUGAAAGACGGUUUUGCCGUCACUUAUAGAUGGAUCCGCGCCGCAUUAGCUAGUUGGUAAGGUAACGGCUUACCAAGGCGACGAUGCGUAGCCGACCUGAGAGGGUGAUCGGCCACACUGGAACUGAGACACGGUCCAGACUCCUACGGGAGGCAGCAGUAGGGAAUCUUCCGCAAUGGGCGAAAGCCUGACGGAGCAACGCCGCGUGAGUGAUGAAGGUCUUCGGAUCGUAAAACUCUGUUAUUAGGGAAGAACAAAUGUGUAAGUAACUAUGCACGUCUUGACGGUACCUAAUCAGAAAGCCACGGCUAACUACGUG
Molecule: ribosomal RNA, 497 nt
Filed under: uncultured bacterium
Lineage: Bacteria
Description: partial 16S ribosomal RNA
Rfam family: Bacterial small subunit ribosomal RNA
Source: RNAcentral